AGCGAACGCUGGCGGCAGGCCUAACACAUGCAAGUCGAACGAACUCUUCGGAGUUAGUGGCGGACGGGUGAGUAACACGUGGGAACGUGCCUUUUGGUUCGGAAUAACUCAGGGAAACUUGUGCUAAUACCGAAUGUGCCCUUCGGGGGAAAGAUUUAUCGCCAUUAGAGCGGCCCGCGUCUGAUUAGCUAGUUGGUGAGAUAACGGCUCACCAAGGCGACGAUCAGUAGCUGGUCUGAGAGGAUGACCAGCCACACUGGGACUGAGACACGGCCCAGACUCCUACGGGAGGCAGCAGUGGGGAAUCUUGCGCAAUGGGCGAAAGCCUGACGCAGCCAUGCCGCGUGAAUGAUGAAGGUCUUAGGAUUGUAAAAUUCUUUCACCGGGGACGAUAAUGACGGUACCCGGAGAAGAAGCCCCGGCUAACUUCGUG
This 433-nucleotide ribosomal RNA is filed under the name uncultured bacterium. RNAcentral describes it as "partial 16S ribosomal RNA". It matches the Rfam family "Bacterial small subunit ribosomal RNA", at positions 29 to 507 of the family's 1533-position model. The record is from RNAcentral.